Molecule: non-coding RNA, 573 nt
Organism: Pogona vitticeps (central bearded dragon)
Lineage: Eukaryota; Metazoa; Chordata; Lepidosauria; Squamata; Agamidae
Source: RefSeq, a predicted model, not a curated record
UCAUUGCAGGCGACUCUACUCCAGAGCAAGCUCAACCAGAUAUUUGAGAUCACCAUAAGACCCCCUCCGAGCCCUUCGGGAACCAUCACAGCCGCUUACGGGCAGCCCCAGAGCCAUUCUAUCCCGGUGUAUGAGAUGAAGUUCCCAGACCUCUGCGUUUACUGAGAAGCGAGCUGCAUGCCAGGAGGAAGCUGCGCCUGCUGAAUCACCCAAACUCACCCGGCGGGCUUCAUGCCGCCUGCAUGAGCCAGACGGGAGCUUUGGGGGGGGCAGGGGGUGAAUGCCCCGUCAACCAAGCACGAUGGACAGCGCUGGCCCUUACAACCCACACACCCCAGAUGUGCUUUGAUUUCCUCUGUUCUUUGUGGUCGACUAGUUUUUCCAUCCUGUAGAAAUCACAAGAGAGCAUCCAGGAAGGCUGUGACAGACAGCGGGAGGUGGUGGCGGGCAGUGGAGGGAAGUGGUUUCAGACUUCCCUUUUUUUAAGAAGCUGUUUUACAAGUUUUGUCCGUGAAAAGCAUGUGCUGAUAGUCCCUUACAUAAAGUGAAUUUAUUCUUUGUGUUUCUGCUUCA